RNAcentral lists this transfer RNA (68 nucleotides) under Marmota monax (woodchuck). Its description in RNAcentral is "tRNA.Val". Lineage: Eukaryota; Metazoa; Chordata; Mammalia; Rodentia; Sciuridae. The record is from RNAcentral.
GUUGUGGCUCAGUGGUAGAGUGCUUGUCUGACGUGUGUGUGGCCCUAGGUUCAAUCCUCAGCACCACA